UUUAUAGUCUCUUAUGAUAUC
This is a non-coding RNA of Caenorhabditis elegans, 21 nucleotides long. Lineage: Eukaryota; Metazoa; Nematoda; Chromadorea; Rhabditida; Rhabditidae. The record is from Ensembl.